GUUAAUGUAGCUUAAACUUAAAGCAAGGUACUGAAAAUACCUAGACGGGUUUCAACCCCAUAAACA
This 66-nucleotide transfer RNA is filed under the name Tarsius lariang (Lariang tarsier). RNAcentral describes it as "tRNA-Phe". It matches the Rfam family "tRNA". From Rfam's summary of the family: Transfer RNA (tRNA) molecules are approximately 80 nucleotides in length. Their secondary structure includes four short double-helical elements and three loops (D, anti-codon, and T loops). Further hydrogen bonds mediate the characteristic L-shaped molecular structure. tRNAs have two regions of fundamental functional importance: the anti-codon, which is responsible for specific mRNA codon recognition, and the 3' end, to which the tRNAs corresponding amino acid is attached (by aminoacyl-tRNA synthetases). tRNAs cope with the degeneracy of the genetic code in two manners: having more than one tRNA (with a specific anti-codon) for a particular amino acid; and 'wobble' base-pairing, i.e. permitting non-standard base-pairing at the 3rd anti-codon position. Lineage: Eukaryota; Metazoa; Chordata; Mammalia; Primates; Tarsiidae. The record is from RNAcentral.